AUACUCUGGUUUCUCUUCAGAUCGCAUAAAUUUUUCGCCUUUUACUAAAGAUUUCUGUGGAGAAUUGGAUAAUAUGAUACUUUCCUUAAAUUA
Callithrix jacchus (white-tufted-ear marmoset) is the source of this 93-nucleotide small nuclear RNA. Its record names the gene U5. It matches the Rfam family "U5 spliceosomal RNA". From Rfam's summary of the family: U5 RNA is a component of both types of known spliceosome. The precise function of this molecule is unknown, though it is known that the 5' loop is required for splice site selection and p220 binding, and that both the 3' stem-loop and the Sm site are important for Sm protein binding and cap methylation. The record is from Ensembl. Lineage: Eukaryota; Metazoa; Chordata; Mammalia; Primates; Cebidae.